RNAcentral lists this ribosomal RNA (253 nucleotides) under uncultured bacterium. RNAcentral's name for it is "partial 16S ribosomal RNA". It matches the Rfam family "Bacterial small subunit ribosomal RNA", at positions 524 to 776 of the family's 1533-position model. The record is from RNAcentral.
UACGGAGGGGGCUAGCGUUGUUCGGAAUUACUGGGCGUAAAGCGCGCGUAGGCGGACCUGCAAGUCGGGGGUGAAAGCCCGAGGCUCAACCUCGGAACUGCCUUCGAUACUGCGGGUCUCGAGUCCGGGAGAGGUGAGUGGAAUUCCUAGUGUAGAGGUGAAAUUCGUAGAUAUUAGGAAGAACACCGGUGGCGAAGGCGGGACUCUGGGCCGAUACUGACGCUGAGGAGCGAAAGCGUGGGGAGCGAACAGG